GUACAAUUUAAUUACAAUUGUUCCCCCUCUCCUUGUCAGUGAUCUUCUUAGACAUUUAAUAAAAUUGCAAUAGUUUUGUAGAAUUGAAGACUGGAUGUGUUUUGUACUGAUAAAAUAUAUUCUCAGGGUUUUAUUUCUUGCCCUGCAGGAUGGACUUUGAUGAUGAAGAUGGAGAAGGGCCGAGCAAAUUUUCAAGGUAUGAUGAUGAUCAAAUGCCAGCUGAUAAAGAACGUUAUGCCAGAAAUGAGACAGAAUUCAAACCAAGCAUGCAGGAUACCACCAAGAUCCCACGGGAGGCAGCAAAAAUGAGUAGGUGGUCUUUACUUUCAUGCGGCAAUGUUUGAGUCAGUUAUGACGUUUGUGGGUCAAAG
Ictalurus punctatus (channel catfish) is the source of this 371-nucleotide long non-coding RNA. NCBI's taxonomy places the organism in Eukaryota, Metazoa, Chordata, Actinopteri, Siluriformes, Ictaluridae. The record is from Ensembl.